Long non-coding RNA from Fukomys damarensis (Damara mole-rat), 754 nucleotides. RefSeq lists it as uncharacterized. The record is from RefSeq and is a predicted model, not a curated record. The transcript has 3 exons. NCBI's taxonomy places the organism in Eukaryota, Metazoa, Chordata, Mammalia, Rodentia, Bathyergidae.
CCCGGAUGUGGAGAACGUCCGCCCAGGGAACCUUUAUUCUUGUGCGUCAUUAGGCCGUACAAUAGCUGACAGAUUGCACACCCAGCUGCCCCUCCCUGCCCCGUGGGCCGAGAGUACAAGGGCAAACGGUGUCAAACUCAGGAUUGUGCUUGCAGAACAGGCACUGGAACCCCUGAGCUAAAUCCCCAGCCCUUGAAAGGACCUGUCUCUUAAUCUCUUAAAAAUGUAGGAGGUGGGAGAAAACAGACAAAGUUUUGAGAUUGGAAUCCCAGACCCCAUGGUUGACGAUGACAGUGACACAUCUGUCUGUCUGCAUUUGAAGGUUGUUAACAAGGACAGACCUUGGAGAGAUGUCUGUAUAUCUUUCCACCCACCAGAGGAUCACAAAACACAGAAAAAGAGCUCAGGCCUGGAAGUGAAAGGAAAUUUUGCAUGGAAAUUUUGCUUCUGUAGUUCAAGAUGGACUUACUAUGGGAGAGUCCCUACUUGAAAUGUUCUUUGUUCAACAUGUCUGGGUCCGUCCCACCUCACCUGCCGGAACAUGCCCGAGCCAACUUCUGCAUCUCAGGAAUGUCUGUCUCUAGAAGGGUUUUGUCAUUUUACCAGAAUGUAAAUGAGAACCUCGUUUAAAAUCAUCCAAUGAACAUGUUGCCAAUAUCAUGUGUGAACCAACACCAUGAUUGAGCUGGUUCGCUGAUGCAUCAAUUUCUGUAACCAAUGAAUGUAUACCAAAGAUGCCUCACUUGUAGCACCC